Penaeus vannamei (Pacific white shrimp) is the source of this 410-nucleotide non-coding RNA. NCBI's taxonomy places the organism in Eukaryota, Metazoa, Arthropoda, Malacostraca, Decapoda, Penaeidae. The record is from RefSeq and is a predicted model, not a curated record.
AGCUGAAAGCUGCAUCAGGGGCUGGAUAAGAACAGGAUGGCUUUUACAGAUUACAGGUGUUUGAAUCGUGGUGUAGUGGUCCAGUGCAGCCUACGUCUCCUAGCAGUUCCGACCUGGCCAUCAGAAUUUCAGGUUUGGAUGUGGAAAGGGUUGUCUCGACUUCAAGGCCACAGAAGGGCUCUAGGCGGUAUAGCAAUUUGAAGGAGUCCUCUUUUCUAUUUGCAGAAGAGCUGGCAAGAACUUUGAAAACGACACAUUGGCAGGGCUGGAGGACCAGGAAGUUUUCCACAAGCUGAAAGCUGCGUCAGGGGCUGGAUAAGAGCUGGAUGACUUGUAUGGAUUUCUACAGAUCAGCUGAAUGCGUGCAGAUGCCCAUGUGAGGGGACAUUGGAGUAGUUCUUCUGAAUUUG